This is a non-coding RNA of Myotis lucifugus (little brown bat), 76 nucleotides long. The record is from Rfam. Lineage: Eukaryota; Metazoa; Chordata; Mammalia; Chiroptera; Vespertilionidae.
GGUAGUUCUCGGGUGAUGCAUCCAAGAAUGGGGCUCCUUCCUCUCUGGUUCCAGGGUAUGUCACCCAAGAACCACU